RNAcentral lists this ribosomal RNA (648 nucleotides) under Disperis tripetaloides. RNAcentral's name for it is "eukaryotic LSU rRNA". The stretch from base 199 to 354 matches the Rfam family "5.8S ribosomal RNA". Lineage: Eukaryota; Viridiplantae; Streptophyta; Magnoliopsida; Asparagales; Orchidaceae. The record is from RNAcentral.
CACACGUAAGCUAUAUUGCAGCGAGUUUCUGCAGCUCAACACCCGUCCAUCUAUUUCGUUUAACGUUGUGGGUGGAUGGGAGAUCAAUUCGGCAUAGAUUUGUGCCAAAAAAAAAUGUGACAUUGUGAGUGCUUAAAUGCAUUCCUCUUAAAAUGAUUUUUGUGGAGUGAUGUUUGCUCCAUUAUAUUUGGUAUAUAUGACUCUUGGCAAUGGAUAUCUUGGCUCUUGCAUCGAUGAAGAACAUAGCGAAAUGUGAUACAUGGUGCGAAUUGCAGAAUCCCGUGAACCAUCGAGUUUUUGAAUGCAAGUUGCGCCGAAGGCCAGCAGGUCAAGGGCACGUCUGCUUGGGAGUCAAAUAAUUCAUCGCUCAGUUUAACAUCAAAGCCAUCAAAAUAAUUUGAUGUUUUUUUCACUGAUGCGGAGAAUGGCUUGUUGCGCGCAUGGUGCAACAGGAUUGAGAUUAGGUUGGUUUCUUCUUUACAAUGAUCGGUUAUUGGGUGGUGGAAGUCCAUGCACGGCCUUUAAAAUCGCAUGAUUGUUUGAGGAAGAUGACUGUUGAAAAACUCGACAAUUAUAAUACAGUUUGUGUUACAUAGAUGCGACCCCAAGAUAGGUGAGGUAACCCGCUGAGUUUAAGCAUAUAAAUAA